RNAcentral lists this long non-coding RNA (8624 nucleotides) under Triticum aestivum (bread wheat). RNAcentral's name for it is "long non-coding RNA (TAES_LNC000577)". Lineage: Eukaryota; Viridiplantae; Streptophyta; Magnoliopsida; Poales; Poaceae. The record is from RNAcentral.
GCUGCAAGUUUGCUUGUCCCAGUAUGUCUUGCUUACCCAUUUAGUAUGUAUAUCGCUUCAUUCUAUUAAGAAAGGCAUUUUUGAUAGCGUCACAAUAAGUAGUCGUCUCGAGAAGAGCGGCAUCAAAAUAACCAUAGCGGUCCAUAGGCGGAAGCGGCCGAGCACCAUAGUAGGUUGAGCUGGAGGCGGUGCCUUGCGAACAGAAGGAGGCAUGGUAGUCGAGGGAGAUGGCACAUCAGAAGAAUCCACAACACGUGGACGACCAAUGUGGGAAAGAAGAGGACGAGGGGGUAUCACUGAAAAAGCCUCAGGGAACGUGUGAGGUGAGGUAGCUUCAGGUAGCGAAGUCGCAGGUGAUGACGACAUGGUCGACAACAGUAAUAUGGGAAGGCAUGGUGGGAUGGGUUGACGAUGACAAUACAUGAGUGAUAUAUCGAGAAAAUGAGAAAGAAAUAUCCUCAAUGGGAGGAUGGACGUGGAUAGAAAGGAUGAGACUCAUCAAAAGUCACAUCUCGAGAAAUGUGCAUCCAACGACAGAUCCCAAAACUGGUAGCCCUUGUGCUCAUCACUGUAAUCUAAGAAGACACAUUCAACAGACUGAACAGUCAGUUUGGUGUGUUCAUGGGGGCAAGAAGAAAGUAGCAAACAAAAGACUCUCGAGAGAAUUGUCACCCUACAGAGCAGAGGAAGGCCGAUUGUUGAUGAGAUAGGUGGAAGUAGAAACAACCUCAACCCAAAAGUGAGCCGGAAGAGAGGCGACGAUUGUCAACGCAUGAGCCGCCUGAAGAAGGUGAUGAUGCUUGUGCUCAUCAAACACCAUCAUUCUGAGCAUGAGCACAAGGACAAGAGAAUUGAGCAAGUGUGCCCUGCUCAACAAGGAAUAUGCGUAGCAAAUGAGAAAUAUACUCACGAGCAGAGUCGACAUGGAAGACACAGAUAGGAGUUGAAAACUCGGUAUGAACCAUGUCGGCAAACUUUUUACCGAUAGAUAAGACCUCACUACAAGAAGACAUAAAAUAUAUCCAUGUGUGCUGACAGAAAUCAUCUAUAAAGAUAAUAUAUUAGCGAUAGCCUCCUUUUGAGGCAAAGACCAGAGCGAACAAGAUCCAAAGGAUGUUGAGACACCAUCUCGCUACGAGGAUAAAGUAACCGAACCUGUUUACCAAACUGACAAACCUGACAGUCUAAAGACACCGCCAGAGAUAGAUCCAAGAAGGCCACGUUGAAACUAAGGAUGAAAGACAAGAGCCACACAAGUAACGAGGACGAUGAUGCCACAAAGAGUCAAUUGUCGAGGUAACAAAGGCGAAGUGACUUGCGUUGGUUGUGGUAGAGGGAAGGUGAAGCCAGUCAAGCUCUCGGAGGCCUUGGGAGUUGGGAAUCACAAGGGCCAACACCAAGUAGAGCACCUGUGUGACGAUCCUAAAACAGUUGUCAAAGUCAAGAAUGACUCUACAACAAGAGUCAACAAUCUAACCACCUGAAAUGUGGUAGAUGGCAAGUCAAGGAGCAUGAGAAGAAGGAACAUGACAAGACAAAGUGCUAAGAGUGCCUCGACAAUUGACCAGGAGGUAAGUACCAUCAGCAGUAAGAACAUGAACAUGAUAAUCUAGAGGUUUGAAUGGAGGACAAACUUGAAGAAUCAUGAGUCAUAUGAAAAGAUGCUUCAGUACCAAGAAUCCAUGGAAAUGUACCUGAUUGUAAAAGGUAGUCUCUGUACAAAAAGAAUCAUUAGCAAAACCCUGCAAAAUUGUUAAUGGUCAAAAGAAGCACCUAGUAGACAUUUAAGUCUUGUAAUCUCCAACAUAGUCAGGACCUCAACUGAAGAGGGCGAUGAAGAAGCACCAGGCGAUGAAAAGCUAAAAGCAGUAUGUGUCGAAGUCAUGCAAUCUCCUGUGCGGUGAAGGACACGGCUGAAGUGGUCGAUGUAGAAUCACCUGAAGAGGAGUGGCCACCACCACCCAUGUAAGCCGCUAGAGGAGGCGGUGUUGCAUGACCAAUGCUAGUUGUAGAAGUCGGUGGAGGAGAUGAGGUCGUAGGAACACAAGCACCAAGCAUGAAGGGAAGGCACAUGUGUGCGACGUAGUCGGUGGAGUGAUGUGCACCAACACUACCGAUGAAAGCUUUGAGUGUAGUUUGUGUUGAGCGAUCGUCAUCGUCUGCCGAGGUCGCGAGAGGCGUUACUAUGGAGCCACGACCACAACCCAAAAAGGCACCGGGGGGAGCAAUGUCAUAGGUGGAGGGGCACCUAAGCAUCGACGGACGACACAUGUGCGAGAUGGGGUUAAUGUACGGAAUAUCAUUGAACAAAAAGAGAAACUAUGUCCAAUGAAGUCACAAUACCUAUUUUUUUUGUUUUUCUACUCUUUUGUCUACAGAACUAGCUACGUCUUACGAAAGAAGAGAGCAACAGAGCAUGGAAGAGCAGCGUAGAGGGCAUGCGCGGUAGGGGCAUGGUCCCUAGAGAAGCUAGUCGGCGGGACGGGCUGCCAGGUCUGAGGUCUGAUGGUGAUGUCCGGCAUUGAGGUACCGCGUGUAGCAAAAGUGGGAGACGAGACCGUCGCCUGCAGCAGCGGACGUCCGGAGAUUGUGGUUGGGGGCCAACCAGCUGGAGACAGCGAUGAGGCACGACAUUCUGGAGCAGUGGGAUGUCAGCCUCCCGAAGAUGGCAAUGAGGCGCCAACCUUCUGGAGAUGGCGGUGAGGUGUUGACCUUACAUGGCAACAAGGCACGACCUCCUAAAGAUACCGGAGAGGUAGCCUGCCAUUGUAAGCGCGACGCAGGUGGCCACAAGGGCGAGUGUGAUGGAGGCGGAGGUACCGAGCUCGGAAGUGCAUGAUGGGAGCAAUGGCAUGUGGGAAUUCACAGGGGCGGGAAGGGCCUGGACGACGAAGGAGAGACAACCUCGAUCUGGAGGCAGCGGAGGGACGGCGACAAUCGUCGAGAAAAAAACACCGGCGUGAGUUGGGGAGGUGGGGUUGCACGUGAGCAUACUAGCCUGAAAAGAAAUGAUUGGAAACUUAGAUCGAGAUCAAUUCAGAGAGGAGCACGAGUUAUGUGUAAGACCAAGAAAACCUAGGUUCUAAUACCAUUUUAGGAAUAUGCAACUUGUAUUCCCAUGUGGCCAUAGGCUAUACAUGUACAUGUGUGGUACAAUAUGCAGAAAACCCCUUGUAUAAAGGGGAAAAUACAAGGAUGCACGAAUAAUGUAUUACUCAUUCUGAACACUCGAGCGCUGUGUUCCUUCCAAAUGGUCUAGAAUGCGAGCAACACUGCCGACUCGAGUCCGCAGUGCGCCGACAGCGAAAUGGCCGCCUGACAACCAAUCCACCAGUUGGGAAGGGAAACGCUGCCCCCCUCGAGGCAACACAGAUGUUGAAGAGGCGAGUAAUAAUUUCUAGAUUACCGUUGAGAAAGACCAGCCGGUGAACAAGUGUUGAGCACUCUUGGGGGCGUUGAAAUAGAGGGGGCAUGCCACGUGGAUGUCCAUACCGUGGAGCUGACGACGAUCAGUACGUAGACUAUUAACGAUACACUAGAUAUGUGCCAAAUGUGCGGCUCCAACCGCAAUCCAAAGCCGAGCUUCAUCAUUGAGCCGUUGUCUCUAUAGAUUGUCGAUAGUUGAAGACCUGAGCAUUGCGUUCCUUCUAGAUGGUCCAGACCACAAGCAACACUACCGGCUUGAGAUACCGACUUGAAGCAGUGCAAAGGAUGUCCAAGUCAUGCCACUUGACGAUUACACUUCUACGUCAGAGUUUAACUGUUGGGGUUUGAAACACAACCAUGCAUGGGGGUCCUUGGCUAAUUAGGCACCAUGUUAUGGUAACUGAGGAGUAUAAUGGGAUCAAUCGCCCUUCACUCCAUACGUGUUUGGGCUCGGAUCAUGGGUCUACCGGACUUGCUGCGAACAGACUCGUGGCUAGAGCAAUGGCUUCCAAGAUAGAAGUGUUAGAUUUGGAGCUUGGGCUAAAUCGUGUUGAGUAUAAAGUUUGUUCGAGUGUGCGUUAAGAUCAAAUCGGAGAAUCCCACUUUGAGGUUCUUAGGGAAUGUUGAGCGAGGUAAACCGCCCCAAAUGUUCCAUGUGCUAUACGAGAAGGUGUGUUUUUGCACAAAUUGCGGUACGAUUGGCCAUGUUACAGAAUAAUGCGGGUUCAUGAUCCAAAGAAGUCCAUUGCUCAACCUCGUGGUAGCACCAUCUGUGGAAGAGGUGGCUGGCUAGUAGAGGCCAAGGUAGUCGUAGAGGGAAUGACCCAACCUGAUGUGUAAGGAGAACGAUGAUUUUGACCCUGUGAACGGAAAUAUGGGUGUAUGCAAUGUCAAUGCGAACAAUGUUAAUUUAAGGGAUUUUGGUACGAAGCCACCUCACAAAAGGUUAUUGAUUGUAGGUAACCCCGCGUCGGUCAAAGAACCUCCCUUGGUGUCGAGCAAAAUUGGGAUGAGCAACUCAGCUCAGGGUUUCUCUUUGCAAGUUCAAGUGAAGAGAAGGCAGAGGAUGGUGUGGGCGUGCCGCUCCUGACAGUGUUUUCAUCAUUUCUCCAUACCUCUCGCGCACUCGCUGUUGCCCGCUGAUCUGGCUUGGUGUUCUUCUCCUGUUUGCGGGUUGCGUGCCACGUACUUGAGUCCGCAUUCCACGUUCCCUUGCUAGGCGUCCCUGGCCUUGGCGACAGGUAGCGUCGUGCUCCCGGGCGUCUGCGUCCUCGCGUAAGACGGAGACGGUGCCGACUGCCUAUGCUCUUGCUCCACCAGUGGUGCUGCUUGAGCUUGUGGCUAUGGUGACAACCUGCAUGGGAGCACAUGAUGUAGGAACAAGGCAGCGCACAGAGCAACUCGUAGCCAGGCAAAGGAUGCCCAGCCGGACUGGCAGGCAAUGGAUAGUACACGGGAGGUGUGGGGGAAGGUGAGAAAAUGCUAUUGGGAACGGACUGCUACCGCUGUCAGGCCUUGUACCCAGAGCCGAGGGGUGAGGGGACGACGAUAGGGGAAGCGAGGAAGAUAGGAAGAGGGCACCGGGAGGAGUAAUUCAUCAUUCGCCACCCUAUGCCUGUGCGUCACCCAUGAUGGUGGACGGUUGUGGGAAGAUCCAGUGUCUACACGUGGAUUUGCUACACUGGAUGGCAUUGAGAAAGGCAUUUUUGACAUCUAGCUAAGAAACGUACCAGUGGCGUAUAGAAGGGUGUCAAAUUACCACUUGGCGAUUACACUUUUACGACAGAGUUUAAUUGUUUUGGGGAUUGAAACACAACCGUGCAUGGGGUCCUUGGCUCUUUAGGCACCAUGCUGUGGUAACUGAGGAGUAUAAUGGGAUCUGUCGCCUUUAACUCCAUACGUUUUUGGGCUCGGAUCAUGGGUCUACCGGACUUGCUGUGCAACAGACCGGUGGCUAAAGCAAUGACGUCCAAGAUAGAAGUUUUAGAUGUGGAGCUUGGGCUAAAUGGCGUUGAGAAUGAAAGUUUGUUUGAGUGCGCAUCAAGACCAAACUGGAGGGUUCUUUGAAAAUGUUGAGCAAGGUAAACCACCCCAAAAUGUUCCAUGUGCUAUACGAGAAGACGUCGCGUUUUUGCGGAAAUUACCAUACAAUUGGCCAUGUUAUAGAACAGUGUGGGGAUGGAGUUCAUGAUCCCAAUGUAGUUUCAGUUUGGCGAUUUUAUGGUGGUUCCAACCUAGAUGUGGUAGCCUAGAAAUGAGUUUGUCGCUCAACCUGAUGGUAGCACCACCUCUGGAAUAAGGAGAAAGAUGACUUUGGGCCUGCGAAUGGAAAUACGGGUGCAUGCAAUGUCGAUGCAAACAAUGUUGAUCUCAAUUCUUGAAUUCAUGGGGGAAUAGGGGGCAUGCGAUGCCUUCUCAUUGGUGGCCAUAGGAUCGUGUUAUUGGAGGUCUAGGAUCACAACGGUGGCACCAUGUGUAAUUUCGUCCUGCUGAAGGGGCAUUCCCGUCUUUUGCCAGCCAGCCUAUAUAGCCCCACAUUCACAGCCGCGUUCAUCUUUUCUCCACACGGUGAAACACUAUCCGCCAAAUCCCGCGCUCCUGCCCCCUCCUCUUCCUGUUCGGCCGCCAUCGAUCCUCUCUUGUGCUGCCAGCAUCAGGUAUCACCUCUUCGCCGCCGGCGAGGUCCAGCUCCUCUGCAUCCGUGCUCGACAACACCUCCUCGACGCGCUGCUGCCUCCAGACAGUCCUUGUCCGUGACGCCGGUGUCCUUCUCCUCCACAAACCCUUGCUGCUGCUGUCCUACUUAUUGUUGGUGGCCUGUCUUCCUCCUCCCCACCGGCAGUUGCGGCGAAGGCCCCCCAAUGGCAAAGCGGUAUGAAGAGUUCAUCUUGUAUUUCGUAUCCUUUUCUUUUGAUGAUGCAUAUUGUUGUUGAUGGUAAGGAAGGCGGCAUUUUGAACGUAAUUGCAGGAUGAUUAGCCACUAGACUCACACGGCCAUGUUUAUACGGACGAGUUCUGGCAGCAAGUCUUUGUUUUUGUGUGGAUUAAUUCAUGUAUAAUAAUGCCGAGGUGUCAGGUUACUGAACUGUGAUUGAUAGCUUCUUCAAUUGUGAUGACUUGCAGCAAACCCAGAGGCUGGGAUGCACACACCCGAAGGUCACCCUCAUCACCUCCUUCCCUUGCCCUGCUCCCCAAUUCGACGGCAAGGUCGCAGAGUAGCAGCACCCACGACCACCCUCCUCGGUCCUCCGCAUAUCUCAUACAUGAUUUAUGCUUUACGUGGUAUUGUAUGAUGUGCUAUGGAAGUAUAGGAAUUUGUUUGCAGCCCCCUUCAGAUCUAGGUAAAAAAAUACAAGUUUUACUUGCAAUUGUUAUUGUUAGUGCUCAAGAGAUUAUAUGAUCUAUUGACCCAUAUAUAUAUUGCUUUUUAACUGAUUACUAUUUAAUGAGCUUUGCAUCAGCCUUAGAAGUAUAGCCCAGAUUUAAAAAUGUGCAGCUUAUGAGUUGAAGGAGAUAAGCCGCAAAUAACAAGGCAUAGAUUCAGUUGCUCAGAUAUUCCCCGUUGAUGCAAAUCCAACCUUAUUAGAAACAUUUGCAGUCAAAAAGUUUAGGGAAAUACACAAUGAGAAGUUUUAGCCUUCCUUUACUAGAAACUAAUAUGAAAACCUAAUUUGGAUGUUCUUUUCCUCUGCUGCAGUACACAUGGUGUAGCCUAGCAAUUAUAGGGUAUUCAUUCCCACUGAAACUUUCUUUUUUCCUUUUCUUUCAGAUAUUGAAUGAGUAUCUGGUAUGAGGAAAUGGAGGUGACGUUGAUCCCUAGAGGCCUAAUGUAUUUUUCAUUUCCUGGUGAGAUUACUUCUGAAUCCAUGGGCCUCUUCUCUUAGAGUUCUAGGUGUAUGCUUUAAUAUAUUGCUAAAACAAAAAGCGCACAGUUUCAGUCAAAUGAAAUUCCCUAUUUGUAUUUUGAUAUACUUAUGUGCUCUUUUAAACUCUACACCGAAAAGAAAGCAGUGUGGUAUGUUUUGAGAUUAAAAAAUUGUUGAGGAAAGGAUAAAAUUGUGCUAUGAGGAGAUUAUUACUGAGGCAGUGAUCCAAGCAGAAAUAAGACAACAAUAGAGUUUUAUCAUAUUUUCAGUUUCAGUUCAUAUAUGAAGAAGGCCAUCCACUUUAUUAUUUUGACACUUCCAUGCUUCAGAGUAUAGAUUUUGCAUGUUAAAGAGAUCGAGGAGAUUAUUUAUACAAGACUGCAGAAUAUUUAGGUAGCUUUUCUAUACCAAUCGCCAUGUAUGUGCACUCCUCUUGGCUGUUCUUAUCUUUCUUUUUUGUUGUCUUAACAUUAUUGGCUCAAGUUGUUUGCCUGUUGGAUGGUGGAAUUCCACAAUUCAUGUCACAGUUAAAACACCUGGAGACGGAUUUGUAACUGAAUGUUAGACUCAAGAGUAGAUAAACCAGUUAUCUGACCGCUGCAGUGGAUCAAUUAUCAUGCAUAUUUUAUGAGCUUUUGAGAAGUGUGGCAGAUAUCAUUAGUAUGAUCCAAAGCUAAAUAAGUUGUUCUCUUUGUCUAGCUUCGUACUUUGGAGAUGUACCCGCUUAAGGCCAAGGACCUCUUCAUGACAUAAGUAGACCAUGUCGAUGCACUAUGAGUAAAACAAUGAAUCGUCAGAGUUAUGAGAUGUAAUUCUGUGAAGCCCCUUUUUUAUGUGAGAAAUGCAACGUCUGAUUUUGGAAGCUUAAACCUCAUAUGGAAGGGUGAUUGUGAUUUCCAAAUGUUCUGAUUUUUGUCAUGGGAAAUGACAUGGGCUGAAUUUGGCAGCUGUUUUAAGGAAGGAGGGCAAUAGUGUUUCCAUAGUCUUUAUGAUUUAGCCUUAGCUUUACACCUUUGUAAUUUAACUGUCGAAGGUAAAACUAUGAUGGAAAUUAUUUUGAGUGUACUGGGAUUUAUGUUUCUCUCCUUGCCAAAAAACUGCAUAAGUGACAUGACGUAUAUGGUCUGGACAAAUGGUUCUGAUACUCCUAGGGAGGCUAUAGCCUUAUAUUUCUGUAUUGUGUUUUUGUUCAAUAGAAAAUAUGGUUUCAUGUGUACGUCAUUUGUUAAAUAUUGGAUACUCUUCCAUUUUAGGGUCUUGUUUAAGUCUUUAAGUUUUCAUCGAUCGGAAAUGGUAGAUUUGGCUGGCAGUGGUACCAUGGGAGCUUCCAAC